RNAcentral lists this ribosomal RNA (1482 nucleotides) under seawater metagenome. Its description in RNAcentral is "bacterial LSU rRNA". It matches the Rfam family "Bacterial large subunit ribosomal RNA", at positions 492 to 1973 of the family's 2925-position model. The record is from RNAcentral.
GAACCAGUACCGUGAGGGAAAGGCGAAAAGAACCCCGGGAGGGGAGUGAAAUAGAACCUGAAACCUGAUGCAUACAAACAGUGGGAGCACCCUUGUGGUGUGACUGCGUACCUUUUGUAUAAUGGGUCAACGACUUACAUUCAGUAGCGAGCUUAACCGAAUAGGGGAGGCGUAGGGAAACCGAGUCUUAAUAGGGCGAAUAGUUGCUGGGUGUAGACCCGAAACCGAGUGAUCUAUCCAUGGCCAGGUUGAAGGUGCCGUAACAGGUACUGGAGGACCGAACCCACGCAUGUUGCAAAAUGCGGGGAUGAGCUGUGGAUAGGGGUGAAAGGCUAAACAAACUCGGAGAUAGCUGGUUCUCCCCGAAAACUAUUUAGGUAGUGCCUCGAGCAAGACACUGAUGGGGGUAAAGCACUGUUAUGGCUAGGGGGUUAUUGCAACUUACCAACCCAUGGCAAACUAAGAAUACCAUCAAGUGGUUCCUCGGGAGACAGACAGCGGGUGCUAACGUCCGUUGUCAAGAGGGAAACAACCCAGACCGCCAGCUAAGGUCCCAAAUGAUAGAUUAAGUGGUAAACGAAGUGGGAAGGCCCAGACAGCCAGGAUGUUGGCUUAGAAGCAGCCAUCAUUUAAAGAAAGCGUAAUAGCUCACUGGUCGAGUCGUCCUGCGCGGAAGAUGUAACGGGGCUCAAAUCUAUAACCGAAGCUGCGGAUGCCAGUUUACUGGCAUGGUAGGGGAGCGUUCUGUAGGCCGAUGAAGGUGCAUUGUAAAGUGUGCUGGAGGUAUCAGAAGUGCGAAUGUUGACAUGAGUAGCGAUAAAGCGGGUGAAAAGCCCGCUCGCCGAAAGCCCAAGGUUUCCUACGCAACGUUCAUCGGCGUAGGGUGAGUCGGCCCCUAAGGCGAGGCAGAAAUGCGUAGUCGAUGGGAAACAGGUUAAUAUUCCUGUACUUGAUUCAAAUGCGAUGUGGGGACGGAGAAGGUUAGGUUAGCAAGCUGUUGGAAUAGCUUGUUUAAGCCGGUAGGUGGAAGACUUAGGCAAAUCCGGGUCUUCUUAACACCGAGAAGUGACGACGAGUGUCUACGGACACGAAGUAACCGAUACCACGCUUCCAGGAAAAGCCACUAAGCUUCAGUUUGAAUCGAACCGUACCGCAAACCGACACAGGUGGGCAGGAUGAGAAUUCUAAGGCGCUUGAGAGAACUCAGGAGAAGGAACUCGGCAAAUUGAUACCGUAACUUCGGGAGAAGGUAUGCCCCAAGUAGGUGAACUCGAACAGAGGGAGCCCAACGGGGUUGCAAAAAAUCGGUGGCUGCGACUGUUUAAUAAAAACACAGCACUCUGCAAACACGAAAGUGGACGUAUAGGGUGUGACGCCUGCCCGGUGCUGGAAGAUUAAAUGAUGGGGUGCAAGCUCUUGAUUGAAGUCCCAGUAAACGGCGGCCGUAACUAUAACGGUCCUAAGGUAGCGAAAUUCCUUGUC